Molecule: ribosomal RNA, 468 nt
Filed under: uncultured bacterium
Lineage: Bacteria
Description: partial 16S ribosomal RNA
Rfam family: Bacterial small subunit ribosomal RNA
Source: RNAcentral
GACGAACGCUGGCGGCGUGCUUAACACAUGCAAGUCGAACGGAAAGGCCCUGCUUUUGUGGGGUGCUCGAGUGGCGAACGGGUGAGUAACACGUGAGUAACCUGCCCUUGACUUUGGGAUAACUUCAGGAAACUGGGGCUAAUACCGGAUAGGAGCUCCUGCUGCAUGGUGGGGGUUGGAAAGUUUCGGCGGUUGGGUAUGGACUCGCGGCUUAUCAGCUUGUUGGUGGGGUAGUGGCUUACCAAGGCUUUGACGGGUAGCCGGCCUGAGAGGGUGACCGGCCACAUGGGGACUGAGAUACGGCCCAGACUCCUACGGGAGGCAGCAGUGGGGAAUAUUGCACAAUGGGCGGAAGCCUGAUGCAGCAACGCCGCGUGCGGGAUGACGGCCUUCGGGUUGUAAACCGCUUUCGCCUGUGACGAAGCGUGAGUGACGGUAAUGGGUAAAGAAGCACCGGCUAACUACGUG